Triticum aestivum (bread wheat) is the source of this 927-nucleotide long non-coding RNA. RefSeq lists it as uncharacterized. NCBI's taxonomy places the organism in Eukaryota, Viridiplantae, Streptophyta, Magnoliopsida, Poales, Poaceae. The transcript has 2 exons. The record is from RefSeq and is a predicted model, not a curated record.
GUGAGCACUUGUACAUCCCGAUCAGCUUGGAGUUCCGAUUGGUUGGUAGGCGCGGCGCUGGUUCGUAGGUCUCGGAUCCAGCCAGCGUGGUCUCCCUCCGGAGUUGCUCGUUCCGAUUGUGGUUGGUAGGCGCGGCGCGGCGCGGGUUCAUAGCUGGUAGCAGCAACUCUUCUGCUGCAGCCUUCUUCGCCGCCAAAAGGAAAUGAUGGUCUACGAAAUCCACUCCCAUGCCCAAAUCCAAGACCUGCAGGCCCGCUCCGAUGAGCUGGGCCACUCCAAAGACAUACAGCUUGUGAAUCUUGUCUCUUUGGAGUCGGUGCGCAUAGCGUGCGAGUCGUAUGAACUCCUCUGCCCGGUGAUCGAGGAGUUUGUGUUCUUGGCAUGCCCGGAGCUGGAAAACCUCUCGGUCGUGGCACGCUUGUCGCUGGAAAUCCAAAUGCUCGAGCAUGAUGUGUUACCCCAGCUCAAGGUUCAGGAAGCCAAGCUGGAACAGGGCGCCCUGGAAGCCCUCCUACUCAUGAAGAACUGAGCAAUUAUCCUCUUAGAUCUGAGGAAGCGCUUUAUGUUAGCCUUGGGCGUAUUGCUUGCCGAGGACGAUCUGGUCUUAGCCCGAGUCAAAAAGCUGAGCAUAAUGCUAAAGGAUACUGCUGAUGCUGUACUCAAAGGUAAUGGUAACAUUGCCUGGCUUGAGGAGCGUGUCGUGUUGCUGGUCCAGCUGGUCACCAAUGUGUUGGAGACCCCGGUUCGUUUCUGUGAUCCUGAUGAGGACUGAUGAGUAGACUUAUCAGCCAGCUCGAGGCUGUUGUGAUGAGUAUUUCUUAGGGGCGUGGCAAACAGUUUAGAAUCAACUGUUGCGAUGUAUUUCUUGGACCCUCCUUUAUGUUUGGAUGUGUUUUCUCAUUAUGUUACAACUUGCAAUUACUUUCA